AUGGCAGGUCUGCUGCUGCGUACAUUCAUCCGGAUCCAGCCCCGGGCGCCGAUGAGCGCCGCCGGUGGAGCCGCGCCCUUCUACGCCUCGUGUCCCUCGUCGCCCCGCACCGUCGCGCACCUGGAGGUGAGGGGGGAGCAGGCCGCUGCUGAAGUUGAAUUAUCAAAGAAGAGUUGUAUCCCAUGCAUUUCAAAGGAUCUGCAUGCCAUGUCAGAAGAUUCUGCUAAAAAGUCACUUGAACAGGUGACUGGUUGGGAACUGAAAAAUGAAGGUGACAUUUUGAAAUUACACAGAGCAUGGAAGGUGAAGAAUUUUGUAAAAGGUCUUGAGUUCUUUCAGCUUGUUGCUGCUGUUGCUGAGGAAGAAGGUCACCACCCAGAUCUUCAUCUCGUCAGUUGGAACAAUGUGAAAAUCGAUGUCUGGACUCAUUCAGUCAGAGGUUUAACAGAUAAUGACUUCAUCCUUGCUGCAAAGAUCAAUGAACUCAAGCUAGAAGGCCUUUUGAGCAAGAAAAAGGCUACUUCCCAGGAGUAG
RNAcentral lists this ribosomal RNA (534 nucleotides) under Triticum aestivum (bread wheat). RNAcentral's name for it is "partial small subunit ribosomal RNA". The record is from RNAcentral. Lineage: Eukaryota; Viridiplantae; Streptophyta; Magnoliopsida; Poales; Poaceae.